Molecule: ribosomal RNA, 503 nt
Filed under: Ditylenchus dipsaci
Lineage: Eukaryota; Metazoa; Nematoda; Chromadorea; Rhabditida; Anguinidae
Description: SSU rRNA
Rfam family: Eukaryotic small subunit ribosomal RNA
Source: RNAcentral
CGCGAACGGCUCAUUAUAACAGCUACCCUUUAAAUGAUCUUGACAAAUCCUACAUGGAUAACUGUGGUAAUUCUAGAGCUAAUACAUGCACCAAAGUUCUGACCUUAUGGGAAGAAUGCAUUUAUUAGAACAAAACCAAGCGGCUUCGGCCGUUUUUUGUUGACUCAGAAUAACUAAGCUAAUCGCAUGGUCUUGUACCGGCGACGUGUCUUUCAAGUAUCUGCCUUAUCAACUUUCGACGGUAGUGUAUCUGACUACCGUGGUGGUGACGGGUAACGGAGGAUAAGGGUUCGACUCCGGAGAAGGGGCCUGAGAAAUGGCCACUACGUCUAAGGAUGGCAGCAGGCGCGCAAAUUACCCACCCUCAGAACGAGGAGGGAGGGACGAAAAAUAACGAGACCGUUCUCUACGAGGCCGGUCAUCGGAAUGGGUACAAUUUAAACCCUUUAACGAGUAUCUAUGAGAGGGGCAGUCUGGGGCCAGCAGCCGCGGGAAUUCCAGCU